GGCUGGUGAUGUCUGUUUUUACAUGCCCACCACGUACACUGCUGAGAAAGCCACUUGGCGCAGCUAAUACCAGAAG
Small nucleolar RNA from Manis javanica (Malayan pangolin), 76 nucleotides. RefSeq annotates it as small nucleolar RNA SNORD35. Lineage: Eukaryota; Metazoa; Chordata; Mammalia; Pholidota; Manidae. The record is from RefSeq and is a predicted model, not a curated record.